UUUACAAUGAAGAGUUUGAUCCUGGCUCAGGAUGAACGCUAGCUACAGGCUUAACACAUGCAAGUCGAGGGGCAGCAUUUUAGUUUGCUUGCAAACUGAAGAUGGCGACCGGCGCACGGGUGAGUAACACGUAUCCAACCUGCCGAUAACUCCGGGAUAGCCUUUCGAAAGAAAGAUUAAUACCGGAUAGUAUACGAAUAUCGCAUGAUAUUUUUAUUAAAGAAUUUCGGUUAUCGAUGGGGAUGCGUUCCAUUAGUUUGUUGGCGGGGUAACGGCCCACCAAGACUACGAUGGAUAGGGGUUCUGAGAGGAAGGUCCCCCACAUUGGAACUGAGACACGGUCCAAACUCCUACGGGAGGCAGCAGUGAGGAAUAUUGGUCAAUGGGCGCGAGCCUGAACCAGCCAAGUAGCGUGAAGGAUGAAGGCUCUAUGGGUCGUAAACUUCUUUUAUAUGGGAAUAAAGUUUUCCACGUGUGGAAUUUUGUAUGUACCAUAUGAAUAAGGAUCGGCUAACUCCGUGCCAGCAGCCGCGGUAAUACGGAGGAUCCGAGCGUUAUCCGGAUUUAUUGGGUUUAAAGGGAGCGUAGGUGGAUUGUUAAGUCAGUUGUGAAAGUUUGCGGCUCAACCGUAAAAUUGCAGUUGAAACUGGCAGUCUUGAGUACAGUAGAGGUGGGCGGAAUUCGUGGUGUAGCGGUGAAAUGCUUAGAUAUCACGAAGAACUCCGAUUGCGAAGGCAGCUCACUAGACUGUCACUGACACUGAUGCUCGAAAGUGUGGGUAUCAAACAGGAUUAGAUACCCUGGUAGUCCACACAGUAAACGAUGAAUACUCGCUGUUUGCGAUAUACAGUAAGCGGCCAAGCGAAAGCAUUAAGUAUUCCACCUGGGGAGUACGCCGGCAACGGUGAAACUCAAAGGAAUUGACGGGGGCCCGCACAAGCGGAGGAACAUGUGGUUUAAUUCGAUGAUACGCGAGGAACCUUACCCGGGCUUAAAUUGCAACAGAAUAUAUUGGAAACAGUAUAGCCGUAAGGCUGUUGUGAAGGUGCUGCAUGGUUGUCGUCAGCUCGUGCCGUGAGGUGUCGGCUUAAGUGCCAUAACGAGCGCAACCCUUAUCUUUAGUUACUAACAGGUGAUGCUGAGGACUCUAGAGAGACUGCCGUCGUAAGAUGUGAGGAAGGUGGGGAUGACGUCAAAUCAGCACGGCCCUUACGUCCGGGGCUACACACGUGUUACAAUGGGGGGUACAGAAGGCGGCUACCUGGUGACAGGAUGCUAAUCCCAAAAACCUCUCUCAGUUCGGAUCGAAGUCUGCAACCCGACUUCGUGAAGCUGGAUUCGCUAGUAAUCGCGCAUCAGCCAUGGCGCGGUGAAUACGUUCCCGGGCCUUGUACACACCGCCCGUCAAGCCAUGAAAGCCGGGGGUACCUGAAGUACGUAACCGCAAGGAGCGUCCUAGGGUAAAACUGGUAAUUGGGGCUAAGUCGUAACAAGGUAGCCGUACCGGAAGGUGCGGCUGGAACACCUCCUUUCUG
This 1535-nucleotide ribosomal RNA is filed under the name Bacteroides ovatus. RNAcentral describes it as "bacterial SSU rRNA". It matches the Rfam family "Bacterial small subunit ribosomal RNA". The record is from RNAcentral. Lineage: Bacteria; Pseudomonadati; Bacteroidota; Bacteroidia; Bacteroidales; Bacteroidaceae.